CCCUUAGAUGUUCUGGGCCGCACGCGCGCUACACUGAACAGUUCAACAAGUCUUAACCUUGGCCGAUAGGUCUGGGUAAUCUUUGAACGCUGUUCGUGAUUGGGAUAGACCUUUGCAAUUAUGGGUCUUCAACGAGGAAUUCCUAGUAAACGCAAGUCACCAGCUUGCAUUGAUUACGUCCCUGCCCUUUGUACACACCGCCCGUCGCACCUACCGAUUGAAUGGUCCGGUGAAAUCUCGGGACGGCGGCUUGGUCGCUUGCGUCCGACUGCUGAAACUUGAUUAAACCAUAUCAUUUAGAGGAAGGUGAAGUCGUAACA
RNAcentral lists this ribosomal RNA (320 nucleotides) under uncultured eukaryote. RNAcentral describes it as "partial 18S ribosomal RNA". It matches the Rfam family "Eukaryotic small subunit ribosomal RNA", at positions 1470 to 1796 of the family's 1831-position model. The record is from RNAcentral.